GCCCCGAUAGUCUAGUCCGGUCAAGGAUUCCGGCCUUUCGAGCCGGAGACCCGGGUUCAAAUCCCGGCCGGGGCA
RNAcentral lists this transfer RNA (75 nucleotides) under Candidatus Nanoarchaeia archaeon. Its description in RNAcentral is "tRNA-Glu". It matches the Rfam family "tRNA". From Rfam's summary of the family: Transfer RNA (tRNA) molecules are approximately 80 nucleotides in length. Their secondary structure includes four short double-helical elements and three loops (D, anti-codon, and T loops). RNAcentral also lists the same sequence under 1 other name. The record is from RNAcentral. Lineage: Archaea; Nanobdellati; Nanobdellota; Candidatus Nanoarchaeia.